AACGAACGCUGGCGGCAGGCCUAAUACAUGCAAGUCGAACGAUCUCUUCGGAGAGAGUGGCGCACGGGUGAGUAACGCGUGGGAAUGUACCCUUGGGUGCGGAACAACAGUUGGAAACGACUGCUAAUACCGCGUAAUGACUCCGGUCCAAAGAUUUAUCGCCCAAGGAUCAGCCCGCGUUAGAUUAGCUAGUUGGUGAGGUAAAAGCUCACCAAGGCGACGAUCUAUAGCUGGUCUGAGAGGAUGAUCAGCCACACUGGUACUGAGACACGGACCAG
This 278-nucleotide ribosomal RNA is filed under the name uncultured bacterium. Its description in RNAcentral is "partial 16S ribosomal RNA". It matches the Rfam family "Bacterial small subunit ribosomal RNA", at positions 29 to 334 of the family's 1533-position model. The record is from RNAcentral.